GACGAACGCUGGCGGCGUGCUUAACACAUGCAAGUCGAACGGAAAGGCCCUGCUUUUGUGGGGUGCUCGAGUGGCGAACGGGUGAGUAACACGUGAGUAACCUGCCCUUGACUUUGGGAUAACUUAAGGAAACUGGGGCUAAUACCGGAUAGGAGCUCCUGCUGCAUGGUGGGGGUUGGAAAGUUUCGGCGGUUGGGGAUGGACUCGCGGCUUAUGAGCUUGUUGGUGGGGGAGUGGCUUACCAAGGCUUUGACGGGUAGCCGGCCGGAGAGGGUGACCGGCCACAUUGGGCCUGCGAUACGGCCCAGACUCCUACGGGAGGCAGCAGUGGGGAAUAUUGCACAAUGGGCGGAAGCCUGAUGCAGCGACGCCGCGUGCGGGAUGACGGCCUUCGGGUUGUAAACCGCUUUCGCCUGUGACGAAGCGUGAGUGACGGUAAUGGGUAAAGAAGCACCGGCUAACUACGUG
RNAcentral lists this ribosomal RNA (468 nucleotides) under uncultured bacterium. RNAcentral describes it as "partial 16S ribosomal RNA". It matches the Rfam family "Bacterial small subunit ribosomal RNA", at positions 28 to 507 of the family's 1533-position model. The record is from RNAcentral.